AGCUAGUUGGUAGGGUAAAGGCCUACCAAGGCAACGAUGGUUAGCUGGUCUGAGAGGAUGAUCAGCCACACUGGAACUGACACACGGUCCAGACUCCUACGGGAGGCAGCAGUGAGGAAUUUUGCGCAAUGGGGGAAACCCUGACGCAGCAACGCCGCGUGAGUGAUGAAGGCCUUCGGGUCGUAAAACUCUGUCAAGUGGGAAGAAAUUGGAAUAGGUUAAUAUCCUAUGUCAUUGACGGUACCACUGAAGGAAGCACCGGCUAACUCCGUGCCAGCAGCCGCGGUAAUACGGGGGGUGCAAGCGUUAUUCGGAAUUAUUGGGCGUAAAGGGCGCGCAGGCGCUUUGUAAGUCAGAUGUGAAAGCCCGGGGCUUAACCCCGGAAGUGCAUUUGAAACUACAAGGCUUGAGUAUGGGAGAGGGAAGUGGAAUUCCUGGUGUAGAGUUGAAAUUCGUAGAUAUCAGGAGGAACAUCGGUGGCGAAGGCGACUUCCUGGACCAAUACUGACGCUGAGGCGCGAAGGCGUGGGGAGCAAACAGGAUUAGAUACCCUGGUAGUCCACGCAGUAAACGGUGAUCACUAGGUGUAGCGGGUAUUGACCCCUGCUGUGCCGGAGCUAACGCAUUAAGUGAUCCGCCUGGGAAGUACGACCGCAAGGUUAAAACUCAAAGGAAUUGACGGGGGCCCGCACAAGCGGUGGAGCAUGUGGUUUAAUUCGACGCAACGCGAAGAACCUUACCUGGAUUUGACAUCUCGGGAAUCAUUUGGAAACAUAUGAGUGCCCUUCGGGGAGCCCGAUGACAGGUGCUGCAUGGCUGUCGUCAGCUCGUGUCGUGAGAUGUUGGGUUAAGUCCCGCAACGAGCGCAACCCUUGUCUUUAGUUACCAUCAUUAAGUUGGGGACUCUAGAGAUACUGCCCCGGUUAACGGGGAGGAAGGUGGGGAUGACGUCAAGUCCUCAUGGCCUUUAUGUCCAGGGCUACACACGUGCUACAAUGGGCUGUACAAAGGGUUGCAACCCCGCGAGGGUGAGCUAAUCCCAUAAAACAGUUCUCAGUUCGAAUUGGAGCCUGCAACUCGACUCCAUGAAGUUGGAAUCGCUAGUAAUCGUGGAUCAGCAUGCCACGGUGAAUACGUUCCCGGGCCUUGUACACACCGCCCGUCACACCAUGAGAGUUGGUUGUACCCGACGUCGCUGGGCUAACCUUUACGGGGAGCAGGCGCCUAAGGUAUGGCUGAUGAUUGGGGUGAAGUCGUAACAAGGUAGCCGUUGGGGAACCAGCGGCUG
RNAcentral lists this ribosomal RNA (1288 nucleotides) under metagenome. Its description in RNAcentral is "bacterial SSU rRNA". It matches the Rfam family "Bacterial small subunit ribosomal RNA", at positions 243 to 1520 of the family's 1533-position model. The record is from RNAcentral.